UGAAUACGAGACGCUAAGGCGUCGAAGUAGUGUAUAUCAGACUUCCAAGAAAAGCUUGCACUGUCAUAGAUAAAAAAUGCCUGUACCAUAACCGACACAGGUGGGUAGGUAGAGUAUACUAAGGGGCGCGAGAUAACUCUCUCUAAGGAACUCGGCAAAAUAACUCCGUAACUUCGGGAGAAGGAGUGCCUUAUUUAUAAGGUUGCAAUAACAAGAUCCAAGCAACUGUUUAUCAAAAACACAGGUCUCCGCUAAGUCGUAAGACGAUGUAUGGGGGCUGACGCCUGCCCAGUGCCAGAAGGUUAAAGAAGUUGGUUAGCAAUUGCGAAGCUGAUAACUGAAGCCCUGGUGAACGGCGGCCGUAACAAUAACGGUCCUAAGGUAGCGAAAUUCCUUGUCGGGUAAGUUCCGACCCGCACGAAAGGCGUAAUGAUUUGGAUACUGUCUCGGAGAGGGGCUCGGUGAAAUAGACUUGUCUGUGAAGAUGCGGACUACCUGCACCAGGACAGAAAGACCCUAUGAAGCUUUACUGUAACUUGAAAUUGAAAUUGGACUUUAUUCGCGCAGCAUAGGUGGGAGGCGUUGAUUAUAAUCUUGCGGGAUUAUUGGAGCCAUCAGUGAGAUACCACUCUUGUAAUGUUAGAUUUCUAACUUUGAAUCAUUAUCUGGUCAAAGAACAGUUUCAGGCGGGCAGUUUGACUGGGGCGGUCGCCUCCUAAAUGGUAACGGAGGCGUACAAAGGUUUCCUCUGAACGGUUAGAAAUCGUAUCUAGAGUGUAAAGGCAUAAGGAAGCUUGACUGUGAGACCUACAAGUCGAGCAGGGACGAAAGUCGGUCUUAGUGAUCUGACGGUACUGAGUGGAAAGGCCGUCACUCAACGGAUAAAAGUUACUCUAGGAUAACAGGCUGAUCUCCCCCAAGAGUUCACAUCGACGGGGAGGUUUGGCACCUCGAUGUCGGCUCAUCGCAUCCUGGGGCGGUAGUACGUCCCAAGGGUUGGGCUGUUCGCCCAUGAAAGCGGUACGCGAGCUGGGUUCAGAACGUCGUGAGACAGUUCGGUCCAUAUCCGGUGUAGGCGUUAGAAUAUUGAGAGGAGCCUUCUUUAGUACGAGAGGACCGAGAAGGACAUACCUCUGGUGUACCAGUUAUCGUGCCAACGGUAAACGCUGGGUAGCUAUGUAUGGAGUGGAUAACCGCUGAAAGCAUCUAAGUGGGAAGCCCGCCUCAAGAUAAGUA
This 1236-nucleotide ribosomal RNA is filed under the name metagenome. Its description in RNAcentral is "bacterial LSU rRNA". It matches the Rfam family "Bacterial large subunit ribosomal RNA", at positions 1564 to 2810 of the family's 2925-position model. The record is from RNAcentral.